RNAcentral lists this ribosomal RNA (484 nucleotides) under uncultured bacterium. Its description in RNAcentral is "partial 16S ribosomal RNA". It matches the Rfam family "Bacterial small subunit ribosomal RNA", at positions 28 to 523 of the family's 1533-position model. The record is from RNAcentral.
GACGAACGCUGGCGGCGUGCUUAACACAUGCAAGUCGAACGAUGAAGCUGGAGCUUGCUCCGGUGGAUUAGUGGUGAACGGGUGAGUAACACGUGAGCAAUCUGCCCUUGACUCUGGGAUAACUGCGGGAAACUGUAGCUAAUACCGGAUACUUUCACUGGAAGGCAUCUUCUGGUGAAGAAAGAAUUUCGGUCAAGGAUGAGCUCGCGGCCUAUCAGCUUGUUGGUGAGGUAACGGCUCACCAAGGCGACGACGGGUAGCCGGCCUGAGAGGGUGACCGGCCACACUGGGACUGAGACACGGCCCAGACUCCUACGGGAGGCAGCAGUGGGGAAUAUUGUACCAUGGGCGCAAGCCUGGUGCAGCAACGCCGCGUGAGGGAUGAAGGCCUUCGGGUUGUAAACCUCUUUUAGCAGGGAAGAAGCGAAAGUGACGGUACCUGCAGAAAAAGCACCGGCUAACUACGUGCCAGCCGCCGCGGUAA